GAGGGUAUAGCUCAGAGGUAGAGUGCGUGCUUAGUGAGCACAAGGUCCUGGGUUCAACCCCUAGUACCUUCA
RNAcentral lists this transfer RNA (72 nucleotides) under Camelus bactrianus (Bactrian camel). It matches the Rfam family "tRNA". Rfam says of the family: Transfer RNA (tRNA) molecules are approximately 80 nucleotides in length. Their secondary structure includes four short double-helical elements and three loops (D, anti-codon, and T loops). The record is from Rfam by way of RNAcentral. RNAcentral also lists the same sequence under 2 other names. Lineage: Eukaryota; Metazoa; Chordata; Mammalia; Artiodactyla; Camelidae.